GGCCUUAAGGUGUUAUCAUGUUGAAUUGCAAAUUCAAAGAUGUAGAGAAACUCCUCUACUAAGGCUU
This 67-nucleotide transfer RNA is filed under the name Hybomys univittatus (Peter's striped mouse). RNAcentral describes it as "tRNA-Cys". The record is from RNAcentral. Lineage: Eukaryota; Metazoa; Chordata; Mammalia; Rodentia; Muridae.